Non-coding RNA from Maylandia zebra (zebra mbuna), 402 nucleotides. NCBI's taxonomy places the organism in Eukaryota, Metazoa, Chordata, Actinopteri, Cichliformes, Cichlidae. The record is from RefSeq and is a predicted model, not a curated record.
UUGUUACACUCAAAAAAGUCAACUAAGGCAGUUGUUUGAUUAAUUCAAUAGACAUUUGUCUAUUUAACAUGAACAUAUUGAGUUUAGGUUUUUAAAUCAUUAUCAGUUGUUGGUUUAACAUAAAAUAACAAAAAGUUUAAUGAACUAGAUUUGCAUUCUUCAGUUCAAUUAAAUGUAAUUAUUUUAAAUCAACAACUCUAAAACCGAUGCCUAGUGCGCAUGCUCAAACUUCCCAAAAGUGAAGAGGCGGGAACGCGGAGAAGUUAUAUGUGUUCAGUGGACUGCCAUUUCCCUCUGCGGAAUCUUCCACAAUACAGUAACACCACAAAGAAAGCUGACCCCUUUUUCUGAUUGUUUGUGCCUCCUCUUUAAUACAUGUGACUUGUAUGUGGCAGUGCAAGC